CAGCAGCCGCGGUAAUACAGAGGGUGCAAGCGUUAAUCGGAUUUACUGGGCGUAAAGGGCGCGUAGGUGGUUAUUUAAGUGAGAUGUGAAAGCCCCGGGCUUAACCUGGGAACUGCAUCUUAUACUGGGUAACUGGAGUGCAGUAGAGGGUAGUGGAAUUUCCGGUGUAGCGGUGAAAUGCGUAGAGAUCGGAAGGAACAUCUGUGGCGAAGGCGACUAUCUGGGCCAACACUGACACUGAGGCACGAAAGCGUGGGGAGCAAACAGGAUUAGAUACCCCAGUAGUCCCUGUCUCUUAUAC
RNAcentral lists this ribosomal RNA (301 nucleotides) under uncultured bacterium. Its description in RNAcentral is "partial 16S ribosomal RNA". It matches the Rfam family "Bacterial small subunit ribosomal RNA", at positions 509 to 807 of the family's 1533-position model. The record is from RNAcentral.